UUGUACACUGUAACGGAUUUUUGUAAUUUGAACAGUAUUUUACUGUAAUAUGUACAGUAUAAUACUGUUAAAUGUGCCAACAGUAUAAUACUGUAAAUAGCAAAGGAUUAUGGGAAAAUAUAUGUUUAGUACUGUAAUUAUUCUCUACUGUAAAUCGAUUUACAGUAGCGACAAUGCCCGCGAAAAAACUGGCCAAUGACAACGGAGAAUUCUUUUCAAGUUUUUUUUCGGUUGGUUGGGGCAACUGAGGAAAGACUCAACAAAAAGGUUAGUAUUGUUUCUGUAAUUAUUUUAUGUAAAACCGAGAUAUUUUCAAAUGCAGUCACUUAUUAACAGCAACCUAACACGAACCAGUGCUGCAAAUUGAGUGAGUUGUUAAUGUGAGGACAAUAUUCCUGUCGUCAAGAGACUUUUUUUCUGCCUGUUUGUCAAGGCGGGAGGUAAUGUUACAAUUGUUACUGCCGUCAUCAUUAUGGCAACUUCAACGGGGUGAAUAAAGUUUACAUUGACUGAUAUUUAGUGACACAGCAACAAAAUAAGCUUUUUUUAAUGCUCCUCUGCCUCUUUAAUGUAAAUUAGCUAAGCAGGAGGACUCUGUGGAAACUUUACGUUAACAGCAAACUAUAUUGAAUGACGAAAAGAAAAGUGAGGCAACACUAAAGACGGAGGUUGUAUUAUAACAGUAUUUUGAAGUGAAUAUUUUGUUUUCAUUUAAAGUUUUUUGCUGUUCGAACCGCGAAACGUCGGAGGUGUCUUGGAGUUAUUUUCUGGCGGUUACCGUUAUCUGAAGAAACUGGUCACUGCAACUCCAGCAGAUAUGCAGAGAGAAGCCUCUCUUUGCCCAGUACCCCAAGACUGAUUGCACUUGGUUCAUUCUGAGAAUAAACCCUGAUGGCACCAAAUGCCUAUCAAAAUCACAGAUCAGCCGGGCAUCUGGAAAAAGGAUGCAUAGAAAAAUCGCCAGCCUGAAUCCCCUUGUGGCAUCUUUCAUCAGAGAGUUUGUUGAAUUCGAUUGGCAAAAUUAUUGAAAGAAAACACGACUAAAACAUGUUUUUACUGUUUGAUUUUUGUAAUGGCUUAUUCUGCUUUGCAGCCAAUUUAAAUUUUUAGCCAUGUUACAAAUACACAGAAUGAAUUCAAACACAUUUGUAGAAUGUACUUUUUAAAGUAAAUGUUAAAUAAUGAAAUAGUUAAACAAUGAAACAGCACAUUUUAAUGGCAAAUGUUCAUGAGAACUUAUGAACUUGUUAAAUGUUAAACUUGUAACAUUUGUUAAAUGUUAAAUGUUAAUUUGUUGAACUUGUUAAAUGUUAAACAAUGAAACAGCAUAUUUUAAUGACAAAUGUUCAUGAGAACUUAUUUUUGGGGAGUAAAAAAUUUAUAGUUUACAGCUAGUGGUUUUUCAUUCGUUAAACAUCAGUUACACCUGUUGUUAAUUUCAUUAAUUGGUUUGUCUUUUUGUGUUUGGUUUUGUUGCUUUGUUUUCGGAGUAUUUUGAGUUCUAUGUUAAAUAAAACUUUGACUGCUGCGAUUA
Cyprinus carpio (common carp) is the source of this 1534-nucleotide long non-coding RNA. RefSeq lists it as uncharacterized. The record is from RefSeq and is a predicted model, not a curated record. The transcript has 3 exons. Lineage: Eukaryota; Metazoa; Chordata; Actinopteri; Cypriniformes; Cyprinidae.